RNAcentral lists this ribosomal RNA (1421 nucleotides) under Lactiplantibacillus pentosus. RNAcentral describes it as "bacterial SSU rRNA". It matches the Rfam family "Bacterial small subunit ribosomal RNA". RNAcentral also lists the same sequence under 1 other name. Lineage: Bacteria; Bacillati; Bacillota; Bacilli; Lactobacillales; Lactobacillaceae. The record is from RNAcentral.
AGUCGAACGAACUCUGGUAUUGAUUGGUGCUUGCAUCAUGAUUUACAUUUGAGUGAGUGGCGAACUGGUGAGUAACACGUGGGAAACCUGCCCAGAAGCGGGGGAUAACACCUGGAAACAGAUGCUAAUACCGCAUAACAACUUGGACCGCAUGGUCCGAGUUUGAAAGAUGGCUUCGGCUAUCACUUUUGGAUGGUCCCGCGGCGUAUUAGCUAGAUGGUGGGGUAACGGCUCACCAUGGCAAUGAUACGUAGCCGACCUGAGAGGGUAAUCGGCCACAUUGGGACUGAGACACGGCCCAAACUCCUACGGGAGGCAGCAGUAGGGAAUCUUCCACAAUGGACGAAAGUCUGAUGGAGCAACGCCGCGUGAGUGAAGAAGGGUUUCGGCUCGUAAAACUCUGUUGUUAAAGAAGAACAUAUCUGAGAGUAACUGUUCAGGUAUUGACGGUAUUUAACCAGAAAGCCACGGCUAACUACGUGCCAGCAGCCGCGGUAAUACGUAGGUGGCAAGCGUUGUCCGGAUUUAUUGGGCGUAAAGCGAGCGCAGGCGGUUUUUUAAGUCUGAUGUGAAAGCCUUCGGCUCAACCGAAGAAGUGCAUCGGAAACUGGGAAACUUGAGUGCAGAAGAGGACAGUGGAACUCCAUGUGUAGCGGUGAAAUGCGUAGAUAUAUGGAAGAACACCAGUGGCGAAGGCGGCUGUCUGGUCUGUAACUGACGCUGAGGCUCGAAAGUAUGGGUAGCAAACAGGAUUAGAUACCCUGGUAGUCCAUACCGUAAACGAUGAAUGCUAAGUGUUGGAGGGUUUCCGCCCUUCAGUGCUGCAGCUAACGCAUUAAGCAUUCCGCCUGGGGAGUACGGCCGCAAGGCUGAAACUCAAAGGAAUUGACGGGGGCCCGCACAAGCGGUGGAGCAUGUGGUUUAAUUCGAAGCUACGCGAAGAACCUUACCAGGUCUUGACAUACUAUGCAAAUCUAAGAGAUUAGACGUUCCCUUCGGGGACAUGGAUACAGGUGGUGCAUGGUUGUCGUCAGCUCGUGUCGUGAGAUGUUGGGUUAAGUCCCGCAACGAGCGCAACCCUUAUUAUCAGUUGCCAGCAUUAAGUUGGGCACUCUGGUGAGACUGCCGGUGACAAACCGGAGGAAGGUGGGGAUGACGUCAAAUCAUCAUGCCCCUUAUGACCUGGGCUACACACGUGCUACAAUGGAUGGUACAACGAGUUGCGAACUCGCGAGAGUAAGCUAAUCUCUUAAAGCCAUUCUCAGUUCGGAUUGUAGGCUGCAACUCGCCUACAUGAAGUCGGAAUCGCUAGUAAUCGCGGAUCAGCAUGCCGCGGUGAAUACGUUCCCGGGCCUUGUACACACCGCCCGUCACACCAUGAGAGUUUGUAACACCCAAAGUCGGUGGGGUAACCUUUUAGG